Molecule: non-coding RNA, 244 nt
Organism: Hydra vulgaris (swiftwater hydra)
Lineage: Eukaryota; Metazoa; Cnidaria; Hydrozoa; Anthoathecata; Hydridae
Source: RefSeq, a predicted model, not a curated record
UUUUUUUUUUUUUUUUUUUUUUUUUUUUUACAAAACUUUUCAUUAAUUUUUUCAAAACUAAAAUUUUACUCUACAUCAUUGUUUAUAUUGAAGAAAAAUGAAGCAUAAAUUUAUCAAGGUACUGUACUUACCUUACAAGUGAUUCUAAUCCAUGGGUGUGCUGACUACAAAAAACUUAUACUGGAUUAUUUUGAAGAGAUCCAAUUUUACAUCUUUUUAAUAAUCUUUUUAAUAAGUUUUUUAA